GUUUGCUGCAAUUCGUGCUUUGACUGCUGUAAUUUUAUUCAAAGCCACAUAUCCACUUCAGUUUUGCAUUAUGCUUAGCUCUUGGGAUAUAUGGUAGCUAAGGAUUCGCUUUAUAAGAAACAAUUACCAGCGGUGUGUAUGUAUUGAGGAAAUCGAGCACUAAAUCAUAUCCAAACGAGCCCAACUCCCUAUCGUACCUCUGUGGCGCAUUAGAAAAUCAUCUAAGGUGAAAGAAUGGGGCAAAAAAGCGUCAUGUCUGCAAAAUUCGCGUCUGAACUCAAAUGCCUAUCAAACCUCUCUAAUACAUUGAUAAUAACUUUUGCCAUUGGCCUAUUCUGUUCCUUUUUCCUCAUUCUUUUCCUGGUAUGAUUAAAAAAGACAGGGAGAACAAAGGCAAAGAGUUGUUUCAAGUUUAUCGGCAGCAUCACCUCCACAGAUGUGACAUGCGUGGCAAGUUUUGAGGAGUUGAGUGCAUCUGCAUCCGUUCCAACCAUUACACAGUUUGAAGGCCGGAUUAGAUCACGUAGAACUAACGUCCACCCAGAACUUGUUUCCGCUACUGACAACCUUCCCAUCGUCGGUGGCUACAUCUCCUAAAACCCCACCGCCACCUACUGCCUUGCCCACCCUUUCCAUCACCGCCAACCCCAAACCAUCAUCUGAGCAGCCUUCAAUGACGAUAGCAUCAACUCCAGACGAUUGGCCAUCUGUCGAGGGGACACUCUCCAGGGUGAGCAUUCCGGCGAAUAAGCGUUGAGCUGCGGAAGCCGCAGAAUCACCUAAAGACACAGGGAUCAACUCUGCUUCAUCCGUAUCUAUAAGCAAACGCUUGCUCAAUGGGGAGCCUUCAAAAUGUAGAACGCCUAUUCUCCUCUUGGACUUCAAGUCCGAUGAUAUGUUUGACAAUAUUUGACGAAGUACAGCAGAUGCAGAUGAUGGAGAUUUUGAUGUGAGAGCUGGAGGACGAGGGAAUAUGUUGCUAGGUUUAAGAAGGAAUACGGGUACCCGGGGAGAAUAAUGUCGGUAUUUCAUACCGGGCGUUGAGGGUGGAAGACUGACCUUCGGAGCUGUUAAAAGGUUAACGUCGUUUUGCUGGACGGGAUCUACAGAUGAUGAAGGCCUAAAUGAUGCCUCCUUCCAAGCUUGUCCGAGCAGAAGGAUUUCUGUCUUGCCUUCUCCACCAUCAACCUCAUCUACAAUCUUUUUGAUUUGCUCUACACCUAGCCCGCCAGGGCGAAGGAUGUCUACCUUUCCUCCUCCCCCCUCCUUCCAUUCAAGCCCAUUUACGACGGUAGAUUCUACACCCACUCCACAGUCACCUCCGUCUAUUAUGCAUCCCAGACCAUCUGAUCCAUUGAGGUCAUUCCAAACAUGCUGUGCCUUGGUGGGGCUUGGUCUACCCGAAGAAUUGGCUGAAGGUGCGGAUAACGGAAGGUUGGAGUGGGCUAUGAGAGCAAGGGCGAGGGGAUGGGAAGGCAUGCGGAUAGCAUUUGUCUGAGGAGCAGGUGGUGGGGGAGGAGACGGCGAUGGGAACAGUAAAGAUAAAGGCCCGGGCCAAAAGGCGUUGAUAAGGGCAAGAUAAAGAGGCGAGAAAGUAUAGUCGGGUGGUAGGAGGCGACGCAGCAUAUUUAAUGAUGAGACGUGGAUAAUGAGAGGAUUGUCUGAUGGCCGAUUUUUGAUUUUGUAGAUCAUCCUGCAAGCUUCAGGAUCAAGGGACGAAGCUGCAAGACCAUACACCGUCUCAGUCGGAACAGCGACUGUCUUGUGCGAGUGAAGGUGCUUUGAAGCCUCUUCUAGAUGUGGCAGAAUGGAAGGUGGUAUAGAGAAGUGAGGAGAGUCAAGGGGAUGACUGGAUGAGGAAGAAGGCAUAAUAUCAAUUGCAGGCCAAUCUUGGCAUUGGUAAAUUGGGGUUGUGUUGCUCGACAUUGUGAAUAACCUGAGCGGAUUGCUAAGUAAUGGUCACAACCUUGUUGGAGCAACAGAUGUCAGAACCCACCUCGCCCGAAAUAAUGUUCUGGUUAAUAGUUUGCGAACAGUUGCCCGCAUGCCCCUAUGGCUUUUGGCCUUACUGUGCUCUGGUAUAUUUUCCUGCUGGUAUAAACGAUGAGAAG
This 2111-nucleotide small RNA is filed under the name Cryptococcus neoformans H99. RNAcentral describes it as "Cryptococcus neoformans var. grubii H99 hypothetical RNA". Lineage: Eukaryota; Fungi; Basidiomycota; Tremellomycetes; Tremellales; Cryptococcaceae. The record is from RNAcentral.